This 399-nucleotide long non-coding RNA is filed under the name Pan troglodytes (chimpanzee). RNAcentral describes it as "long non-coding RNA NONPTRT011856". The record is from RNAcentral. Lineage: Eukaryota; Metazoa; Chordata; Mammalia; Primates; Hominidae.
CAUUUCAGGCAGUGACCCAACUAAUAAACUGGUACUCUGUUUACUCUUUGGAUUUACCAUCAAAACCUCUCCACAUUUUUACCUUUUACACUUUACAUCUACCAAAACAAACUCAUAAUUUCUGUAACCUUCUUUUUCAUAACAAAUAUGCUGCAACUAUAUCUUUAUGUCUAUAAAAAAUCUUCAGUGUAAUUUUCAAUGGCAAAUCGCAUUCUAUUAUAUAGAUAUAGAGUGAUUCAUGUAACUGACAUGAUUUUUAAAAUUUAAGUUCUGUUUUUUUUCACUAUUAUAAAAUUAAUAGUCAAAAGGGAAAAAUAUAAAAAUAUGUAAGGAACAAGUUAAAGAAUGGGCAAAAUCUUCAUGUUUUUGCUCUUUAACCCAUAUAAACUAAUGAGAAUG